CCUACGGGUGGCAGCAGUGAGGAAUAUUGGUCAAUGGUCGAGAGUCUGAACCAGCCAAGUAGCGUGAAGGAUGACUGCACUAUGGGUUGUAAACUUCUUUUAUAUGGGAAUAAAAUGUUCCACGUGUGGGCUUUUGUAUGUACCAUAUGAAUAAGGAUCGGCUAACUCCGUGCCAGCAGCCGCGGUAAUACGGAGGAUCCGAGCGUUAUCCGGAUUUAUUGGGUUUAAAGGGAGCGCAGGUGGAUUGUUAAGUCAGUUGUGAAAGUUUGCGGCUCAACCGUAAAAUUGCAGUUGAAACUGGCAGUCUUGAGUACAGGAGAGGUGGGCGGAAUGCGCGGUGUAGCGGUGAAAUGCUUAGAUAUCACGAAGAACUCCGAUGGCGAAGGCAGCUCACUGGACUGCAACUGACACUGAGGCUCGAAAGUGUGGGUAUCAAACAGGAUUAGAUACCCUAGUAGUC
This 460-nucleotide ribosomal RNA is filed under the name uncultured bacterium. Its description in RNAcentral is "partial 16S ribosomal RNA". It matches the Rfam family "Bacterial small subunit ribosomal RNA", at positions 338 to 795 of the family's 1533-position model. The record is from RNAcentral.